This 1429-nucleotide ribosomal RNA is filed under the name uncultured organism. RNAcentral's name for it is "SSU rRNA". It matches the Rfam family "Bacterial small subunit ribosomal RNA". The record is from RNAcentral.
CUAGCUACAGGCUUAACACAUGCAAGUCGAGGGGUAUCAGGAAGAAAGCUUGCUUUCUUUGCUGGCGACCGGCGCACGGGUGAGUAACACGUAUCCAACCUGCCCUUUACUCGGGGAUAGCCUUUCGAAAGAAAGAUUAAUACCCGAUAGCAUAAUGAUUCCGCACGGUUUCAUUAUUAAAGGAUUCCGGUAAAGGAUGGGGAUGCGUUCCAUUAGGUUGUUGGUGGGGUAACGGCCCACCAAGCCUUCGAUGGAUAGGGGUUCUGAGAGGAAGGUCCCCCACAUUGGAACUGAGACACGGUCCAAACUCCUACGGGAGGCAGCAGUGAGGAAUAUUGGUCAAUGGGCGCUAGCCUGAACCAGCCAAGUAGCGUGAAGGAUGAAGGCUCUAUGGGUCGUAAACUUCUUUUAUAUAAGAAUAAAGUGCAGUAUGUAUACUGUUUUGUAUGUAUUAUAUGAAUAAGGAUCGGCUAACUCCGUGCCAGCAGCCGCGGUAAUACGGAGGAUCCGAGCGUUAUCCGGAUUUAUUGGGUUUAAAGGGAGCGUAGGUGGACUGGUAAGUCAGUUGUGAAAGUUUGCGGCUCAACCGUAAAAUUGCAGUUGAUACUGUCAGUCUUGAGUACAGUAGAGGUGGGCGGAAUUCGUGGUGUAGCGGUGAAAUGCUUAGAUAUCACGAAGAACUCCGAUUGCGAAGGCAGCUCACUGGACUGCAACUGACACUGAUGCUCGAAAGUGUGGGUAUCAAACAGGAUUAGAUACCCUGGUAGUCCACACAGUAAACGAUGAAUACUCGCUGUUUGCGAUAUACAGUAAGCGGCCAAGCGAAAGCAUUAAGUAUUCCACCUGGGGAGUACGCCGGCAACGGUGAAACUCAAAGGAAUUGACGGGGGCCCGCACAAGCGGAGGAACAUGUGGUUUAAUUCGAUGAUACGCGAGGAACCUUACCCGGGCUUAAAUUGCAGUGGAAUGAUGUGGAAACAUGUCAGUGAGCAAUCACCGCUGUGAAGGUGCUGCAUGGUUGUCGUCAGCUCGUGCCGUGAGGUGUCGGCUUAAGUGCCAUAACGAGCGCAACCCUUAUCUUCAGUUACUAACAGGUCAUGCUGAGGACUCUGGAGAGACUGCCGUCGUAAGAUGUGAGGAAGGUGGGGAUGACGUCAAAUCAGCACGGCCCUUACGUCCGGGGCUACACACGUGUUACAAUGGGGGGUACAGAAGGCAGCUAGCGGGUGACCGUAUGCUAAUCCCAAAAGCCUCUCUCAGUUCGGAUCGAAGUCUGCAACCCGACUUCGUGAAGCUGGAUUCGCUAGUAAUCGCGCAUCAGCCACGGCGCGGUGAAUACGUUCCCGGGCCUUGUACACACCGCCCGUCAAGCCAUGGGAGCCGGGGGUACAAGGAGUACGUAACCGCAAGGAUCGUCCUAGGGUAAAAC